This 253-nucleotide ribosomal RNA is filed under the name uncultured bacterium. Its description in RNAcentral is "partial 16S ribosomal RNA". It matches the Rfam family "Bacterial small subunit ribosomal RNA", at positions 524 to 776 of the family's 1533-position model. The record is from RNAcentral.
GACAGAGGAUGCAAGCGUUAUCCGGAAUGAUUGGGCGUAAAGCGUCUGUAGGUGGCUUUUUAAGUCUGCCGUCAAAUCCCAGGGCUUAACCCUGGACAGGCGGUGGAAACUACCAAGCUGGAGUACGGUAGGGGCAGGGGGAAUUUCCGGUGGAGCGGUGAAAUGCGUAGAUAUCUGGAGGAACACCGGUGGCGAAGGCGACAUCCUGGACCGGUAUUGACGCUGAGGCGCGAAAGCCAGGGGAGCAAACGGG